UACGAAGGGGGCUAGCGUUGCUCGGAAUUACUGGGCGUAAAGGGAGCGUAGGCGGACAUUUAAGUCAGGGGUGAAAUCCCGGAGCUCAACUCCGGAACUGCCCUUGAUACUGGGUGUCUUGAGUGUGAGAGAGGUAUGUGGAACUCCGAGUGUAGAGGUGAAAUUCGUAGAUAUUCGGAAGAACACCAGUGGCGAAGGCGACAUACUGGAUCAUUACUGACGCUGAGGCUCGAAAGCGUGGGGAGCAAACAGG
This 253-nucleotide ribosomal RNA is filed under the name uncultured bacterium. RNAcentral's name for it is "partial 16S ribosomal RNA". It matches the Rfam family "Bacterial small subunit ribosomal RNA", at positions 524 to 776 of the family's 1533-position model. The record is from RNAcentral.